UACGGGGGGGGUAAGCGUUGUUCGGAAUUACUGGGCGGAAAGGGCGCGUAGGCGGCGGAGUAAGCGUGCGGUGAAAGCUCGGGGCUCAACCCCGAGUCGGCCGUGCGAACUGCUCUCGCUCGAGCAUUGUAGAGGUCGAUGGAAUUCCGGGUGUAGCGGUGGAAUGCGUAGAGAUCCGGAAGAACACCGGUGGCGAAGGCGGUCGACUGGGCAAUGGCUGACGCUGAGGCGCGACAGCGUGGGGAGCAAACAGG
This 254-nucleotide ribosomal RNA is filed under the name uncultured bacterium. Its description in RNAcentral is "partial 16S ribosomal RNA". It matches the Rfam family "Bacterial small subunit ribosomal RNA", at positions 524 to 776 of the family's 1533-position model. The record is from RNAcentral.